AUUGAACGCUGGCGGCAGGCCUAACACAUGCAAGUCGAGCGGAUGAAGGGAGCUUGCUCCUGGAUUCAGCGGCGGACGGGUGAGUAAUGCCUAGGAAUCUGCCUGGUAGUGGGGGAUAACGUCCGGAAACGGGCGCUAAUACCGCAUCCGUCCUGAGGGAGAAAGUGGGGGAUCUUCGGACCUCACGCUAUCAGAUGAGCCUAGGACGGAUUAGCUAGUUGGUGGGGUAAAGGCCUACCAAGGCGACGAUCCGUAACUGGUCUGAGAGGAUGAUCAGUCACACUGGAACUGAGACACGGUCCAGACUCCUACGGGAGGCAGCAGUGGGGAAUAUUGGACAAUGGGCGAAAGCCUGAUCCAGCCAUGCCGCGUGUGUGAAGAAGGUCUUCGGAUUGUAAAGCACUUUAAGUUGGGAGGAAGGGCAGUAAGUUAAUACCUUGCUGUUUUGACGUUACCAACAGAAUAAGCACCGGCUAACUUCGUG
This 484-nucleotide ribosomal RNA is filed under the name uncultured bacterium. RNAcentral's name for it is "partial 16S ribosomal RNA". It matches the Rfam family "Bacterial small subunit ribosomal RNA", at positions 30 to 507 of the family's 1533-position model. The record is from RNAcentral.